Molecule: ribosomal RNA, 473 nt
Filed under: Clostridioides difficile
Lineage: Bacteria; Bacillati; Bacillota; Clostridia; Peptostreptococcales; Peptostreptococcaceae
Description: partial 23S ribosomal RNA
Rfam family: Bacterial large subunit ribosomal RNA
Source: RNAcentral
CAACGGAUAAAAGCUACCCUGGGGAUAACAGGCUUAUCUCCCCCAAGAGUCCACAUCGACGGGGAGGUUUGGCACCUCGAUGUCGGCUCAUCACAUCCUGGGGCUGUAGUAGGUCCCAAGGGUUGGGCUGUUCGCCCAUUAAAGUGGUACGCGAGCUGGGUUCAGAACGUCGUGAGACAGUUCGGUCCCUAUCCGUCGCAGGCGUAGGAAAUUUGAGAAGACCUGUCCUUAGUACGAGAGGACCGGGAUGGACGUACCUCUGGUGUACCAGUUGUUCUGCCAAGGGCAUGGCUGGGUAGCUAUGUACGGAAUGGAUAAGCGCUGAAAGCAUCUAAGCGCGAAGCCAACUUCAAGAUAAGAUUUCCCACCGCAAGGGUAAGACCCCAGAAAGACUAUCUGGUUGAUAGGUCGAAGGUGUAAGUGCAGCAAUGUAUUUAGCUUAUCGAUACUAAUAGGUCGAGGACUUGACCAAU